UGGCUCAGUGGUUAAGAGCACUGGUUGCUCUUCCAGAGGACCUGGGUUCAAUUCCCAG
Cricetulus griseus (Chinese hamster) is the source of this 58-nucleotide non-coding RNA. The record is from Rfam. Lineage: Eukaryota; Metazoa; Chordata; Mammalia; Rodentia; Cricetidae.